CCUACGGGAGGCAGCAGUGGGGAAUAUUGCACAAUGGGGGAAACCCUGAUGCAGCGACGCCGCGUGAGUGAAGAAGUAAUUCGUUACGUAAAGCUCUAUCAGCAGGGAAGAAACACUGACCUUACGGUCAGCAGACGGUACCUGAGUAAGAAGUCCCGGCUAACUACGUGCCAGCAGCCGCGGUAAUACGUAGGGGGCAAGCGUUAUCCGGAUUUACUGGGUGUAAAGGGGGCGUAGACGGUGCGCCAAGUCUGGAGUGAAAUGCCGCAGCUUAACUGCGGAACUGCUUUGGAAACUGGCGAACUAGAGUGCGGGAGGGGUAAGCGGAAUUCCUAGUGUAGCGGUGAAAUGCGUAGAUAUUAGGAGGAACACCGGUGGCGAAGGCGGCUUACUGGACCGUAACUGACGUUGAGGCUCGAAAGCGUGGGGAGCAAACAGGAUUAGAUACCCCAGUAGUC
RNAcentral lists this ribosomal RNA (458 nucleotides) under uncultured bacterium. Its description in RNAcentral is "partial 16S ribosomal RNA". It matches the Rfam family "Bacterial small subunit ribosomal RNA", at positions 338 to 795 of the family's 1533-position model. The record is from RNAcentral.